GAUCCUGGCUCAGGACGAACGCUGGCGGCACGCUUAACACAUGCAAGUCGAACGAGAGAAGAGAAGCUUGAUUUUCUGAUCUAGUGGCGGACGGGUGAGUAACACGUGAGCAAUCUGCCUUUCAGAGGGGGAUACCGGAUUGGAAACGAUCGUUAAUGCCGCAUAAUAUAAUUGAACCGCAUGAUUUGAUUAUCAAAGAUUUAUCGCUGAAAGAUGAGCUCGCGU
This 225-nucleotide ribosomal RNA is filed under the name uncultured bacterium. RNAcentral describes it as "partial 16S ribosomal RNA". It matches the Rfam family "Bacterial small subunit ribosomal RNA", at positions 15 to 236 of the family's 1533-position model. The record is from RNAcentral.